RNAcentral lists this ribosomal RNA (446 nucleotides) under uncultured bacterium. RNAcentral describes it as "partial 16S ribosomal RNA". It matches the Rfam family "Bacterial small subunit ribosomal RNA", at positions 338 to 795 of the family's 1533-position model. The record is from RNAcentral.
CCUACGGGAGGCAGCAGUCGAGAAUCAUUCACAAUGGGGGAAACCCUGAUGGUGCGACGCCGCGUGGGGGAAUGAAGGUCUUCGGAUUGUAAACCCCUGUCAUGUGGGAGCAAAUUAAAAAGAUAGUACCACAAGAGGAAGAGACGGCUAACUCUGUGCCAGCAGCCGCGGUAAUACAGAGGUCUCAAGCGUUGUUCGGAAUCACUGGGCGUAAAGCGUGCGUAGGCUGUUUCGUAAGUCGUGUGUGAAAGGCGCGGGCUCAACCCGCGGACGGCACAUGAUACUGCGAGACUAGAGUAAGGGAGGGGGAACCGGAAUUCGCCGUGUAGCAGUGAAAUGCGUAGAUAUCGAGAGGAACACUCGUGGCGAAGGCGGGUUCCUGGACAUUAACUGACGCUGAGGCACGAAGGCCAGGGGAGCGAAAGGGAUUAGAUACCCCAGUAGUC